UUGACGUUAGCGACAGAAGAAGCACCGGCUAACUCCGUGCCAGCAGCCGCGGUAAUACGGAGGGUGCGAGCGUUAAUCGGAAUUACUGGGCGUAAAGCGCAUGCAGGUGGUUUGUUAAGUCAGAUGUGAAAGCCCGGGGCUCAACCUCGGAAUAGCAUUUGAAACUGGCAGACUAGAGUACUGUAGAGGGGGGUAGAAUUUCAGGUGUAGCGGUGAAAUGCGUAGAGAUCUGAAGGAAUACCGGUGGCGAAGGCGGCCCCCUGGACAGAUACUGACACUCAGAUGCGAAAGCGUGGGGAGCAAACAGGAUUAGAUACCCUGGUAGUCCACCACGCCGUAAACGAUGUCUACUUGGAGGUUGUGGCCUUGAGCCGUGGCUUUCGGAGCUAACGCGUUAAGUAGACCGCCUGGGGAGUACGGUCGCAAGAUUAAAACUCAAAUGAAUUGACGGGGGCCCGCACAAGCGGUGGAGCAUGUGGUUUAAUUCGAUGCAACGCGAAGAACCUUACCUACUCUUGACAUCCAGAGAACUUUCCAGAGAUGGAUUGGUGCCUUCGGGAACUCUGAGACAGGUGCUGCAUGGCUGUCGUCAGCUCGUGUUGUGAAAUGUUGGGUUAAGUCCCGCAACGAGCGCAACCCUUAUCCUUGUUUGCCAGCGAGUAAUGUCGGGAACUCCAGGGAGACUGCCGGUGAUAAACUUGAGGAAGGUGGGGACGACGUCAAGUCAUCAUGGCCCUUACGAGUAGGGCUACACACGUGCUACAAUGGCGCAUACAGAGGGCGGCCAACUUGCGAGAGUGAGCGAAUCCCAAAAAGUGCGUCGUAGUCCGGAUUGGAGUCUGCAACUCGACUCCAUGAAGUCGGAAUCGCUAGUAAUCGUGGAUCAGAAUGCCACGGUGAAUACGUUCCCGGGCCUUGUACACACCGCCCGUCACACCAUGGGAGUGGGCUGCAAAAGAAGUAGGUAGUUUAUACUUCGGGGGGACGCCUAGCGCAGAUG
RNAcentral lists this ribosomal RNA (1000 nucleotides) under Vibrio natriegens. RNAcentral describes it as "bacterial SSU rRNA". It matches the Rfam family "Bacterial small subunit ribosomal RNA", at positions 469 to 1464 of the family's 1533-position model. The record is from RNAcentral. Lineage: Bacteria; Pseudomonadati; Pseudomonadota; Gammaproteobacteria; Vibrionales; Vibrionaceae.